CACACAAGAAACACAUGUAUCUUCUUUGCCUCCCCAUCAAUUAAACAUACAAACAAACACACUUCACUCACCCUCACCCUCACCCUCUCGAUUCCCCCCUUCCCUCUCCGAUGAAACCGCCGGCAAGGAGCCGAUGGCUCCGACCACCCAUAACACACCCCCUCUUCCAAUCUCAGUUACUUAGACCCACACACCUCAAACACCCCCCCUCCGGUGAUUGGCAUACGACGGCUGAACGAGAGAGAGAGAAUAGAUCAGGACGCGACGAGAAUCAGAAGAGAUGAGAGAGAGGCUGGAGCGAGAGAGAGAAACAGCGGGGUGCAGUUUCUGGUGAUGAUCCGCCACUGGCGGCGGAGCCGCAGCGGUGGCGGUGGCGGUUUUGGUUCCGACAAGCUUCCAAGCGGGUUCAGGUUGCGUUUGGCUCAGACUUGGUGAAGAUUCGAGAUGUGUUUUGGCUUGGGUUCGAGCUAUGUUCGGGAAACCGAGUUAUAAUUUAGGUCAGUGGUUCAAAAUGUUCAGAUUUGUGUUGAGUGUUUCAGGAUCUACUCGGAUCAACCACAAGUGUGUUUAGGUCAGAUUCAGCCGGUUCGAGUAUGGUUCAAAGUUUAAGGUUCGGGUCAAGUUUUUGGUGCGGUCAACUUUGGUCAACAGAUUGGUUCGGGUCAACUGGUCAACGGGUUUGGGUCAAGCGGCUUCAGUCAGACUCAGUUAUGGUUUCGGUCGACUCGGUCAAACAUGGUCAAAACAGUUAGUUGACUCGGUCAACUCAACCGGUCAACUCAGUUGACUCAGUCAACUCAGUCAGCAUGUUCGGCAUAUCAACACGCGAGAGAUGGGAUAUUGUAGAAUGCACCCUAGUGAGUCACGUCUUGGAAACGACAUCAUGAAGUUGUAUUUAGCUAGCUUAGCACAAGGAUAUCCAGCCGAUUGAAGAAUAAUCGAAGAUCUUAGGUUUCUUAUUCCAAAAUCCACUGUACGAAUAUACUGAUUAUUCGAACAAUCACGGUAUCAAUAUACUGAUUAUUCGAACAAUCAUGGUUUUCAAGACGAUGGAAAGUUCGUCAAGGUAAUUUAUUAGUAUCAGCAGGUUAUAAGUUUUAAUUUUGUGUUUGAUAUCUAGAUUUUGUAUUGAUGAUUUCUCAUGUUUGAUUACUAAUUUUGUGUUUUGAUUUUUGAAAUCCCGUUCCUCACUUUUGCCUCCUCAUCUACACCCUCUCAUCUAUCACUCUCCCGCCACCUCCGUCAGCCACGGCUUCCGCCGACAACCGCCACUCCAUUCCCCUCUGUUUUAAGAUCACUCUGUCUUCCUCUCAUAUUGAAAUAUCUCUAUUACCAGUAUCGUUUUACCGACGGUUUUCUCGAUUCGUUGCCGCGGAAGGAGGUGGAGCCACAUGUCGUGAAUGAAGUUAUUGCUCCGAGCUUAAGGAUUUUUGGAAGGCUGGUGAUUUUGAUGAGUUUUGGAUGGUGAUUGUGAUACAAGUCUGGUGAGUGUUAAUGUGUUUGAUAUUUGGGGAUUUGUUUUAAUUUUAUGAUGUCAGAGUGAAUGUUUGUAGAUUAUUUACUAAUUUUGUUUACCUGAUUGAGAUUUUAGGUUAAUUUUUAUUUGAUUCUGAGUUUUUGACAAGUCUUAAGUGAAUAUCAGGGGAUUUUGUGAAAGUUAAUUGUGAUUAGUAGAAUUUAUUGAUGUUAGAAGCAAAUGUUUGAAAGUUUGAUCGUUAUGUUAUCGAUAAAAUAAGUCAGCUAUGUGCUAUAUAAUUUGAAAGGAGCAAGUACAAGUAAGGAAAAAAUGUUAGAAAUGUGUGAAUGCUUUAUUUCAUUUUCGUGUUUGUUUGAUGCAGCAUAUGCAUCAAGUAGUUAUGUGCUAAUUCAUAUUUUAGUUAGUCAGAUGGAUGUUGUUGCAGAACUCAAUAAGGUCUUCUACCACUUUUUAAAGUUAAUAUCUUGCUAUGUGCUAAUUCAUAUUUUAAUUGUUCAUUUCUAUUGGUUUUUGGUUUUGUUCAUUUUGAUUUCUAUAUGUUCUGUUUCAAUAAGAAAGCAUCAUAUUUGAAAUUUUAUUUUAUUUCCCAAAACUACGUUCGUUUAACAUGCUAUUAUACAUCUUCAUUUUUUAUCCAUGGUUAUUUUCAUUAGAUUUAUAUAUGUCCGUUUGCGCACAAAAUGGUUCAAUUUUUUUUUAAAGUAGGGCGCUCUUCGAGUUUUUUUAAUCGGGUUUACCGGGUCGUUUUAUUCGUGUUGUCAAUGGUGGGAAUAUAAGUUGAAAAACAAACCAUUUUAUAUUCGGGCUUUGGGGUUAUCGGGUUAUCGGGUCGGUGUAAUUCAGGUUCAGUUUAGUUAAAUAGAUGGAAAUGGAUACUGCCAUUCAAAUAUGCAUUGGUAUACUAAAUUCCAUAUUUAUCCUAUAAUUUACUAAUUUUUGGGGUUGUUAGAGUAUUAAUUAAUGAGAUUUGUGUUUUUAUAGUUUCUAUUCUUUUGUAACUUACUAAUUUUCUAUAUAGGUAUUGAUUAAUUGGUAUUAAUUAAUUGGUGUUAAUCAAUUAAUUAGUUCAAUAUAGAUAUAGAUAUAAACGAUGAUAGUUAAUUGUCAACCUUUCCUAUGAAAUAAGUUAUACCUAUGGAAGUUUUUUGAAUUUAACAUUCCAUUUACAUUUUCAACUGGCAAUUAUAACUUCCAUAAUAAAAUUGCGAUAUUUUUGAGAUUUGAAUUCGAAUUGUUAUGAGAGUUACUAAAUUAUGUCCGAUAUUUUUGGUAACUGGCCCUCUCUUCCCAUUAUGCGAAUUGACCACGUUCUUAAUGUUAAUACAUUACAUUUAUAUGAUUUCAGUUACAUUUUAAUUUGAAUUUUGUUUCAAUUUGGAAUCUGUAACAAAUAUUACGUGCAAUAUAUAAUCAGAAGUUAGUUUGAAUUUGUAUUUGGAAUUGAAAAGAGCAAUACCACAGGUCUAAUUUGUGUUCGACCUCAGAGCUGUUCUAUUUUGUCUUGCAAUGGUUCAGUUGUACAACAAAACCGAAAAUGAUUAUGGUUGAAUGUAGAAGGUGGAUUAUAUAUGGACUCAUAUGACGUCGUCUUAUGAGUGGAAAUUUGUUAUGUGAAAGAGCAUUUUCGUCAAUUCAGUUUGUGGCUUUUUUACUAUGCACGGGUUACGACCAUUGAUGAAGUUUAAACAACAAACUGAUUCACUGCAAUGAAUGAGAUAUUUAACAAGGGCGAACUAUUGGGUUGAAUGAAAAUCAAUUAAAUACCAGGAAGACAAGGUUCUAUGAGCUGAUGAAACUAUAUACAAAGUUUCCGGGAUGCUACAAAGUAGACAGCUUCAGUCACUUCGAUGGUUUUUUUAGUGUAUUCGAAAUUCAAGGUCAAAAAGAUACUCAAAGUUGGUUUAUCGCUAUGAAGGAAGAUGCUCAAAGUUGGUGUAUCGCUACGAAGGAUUUGGUAUAUAUGAUAGGCUUCUCAUACUCUAAAGUGCUCACUGUGUUCUAAAUGUUUGUGUAAGAUGAAGAAUUACUUAUUAGCAUUCAGCUUUAGUGUAUCACUUACCAGGCUUCACACACUCCAAAGUGCUCACUAUGUUCUAAAUAUUUGUGUAAGAUGAAGAAUUACUUAUUAGCAUUCACUUUAGUGUAUCACUUACUCAUGCUUAUAUUUAUGCAUGUACUUAUUAAGGAUUAGUGGAUUGUAAUAUUUCAAUACAUGGUGGACACGAUAUGCCAGCCCUACAUAUCUUCUU
Molecule: long non-coding RNA, 3726 nt
Filed under: Helianthus annuus (common sunflower)
Lineage: Eukaryota; Viridiplantae; Streptophyta; Magnoliopsida; Asterales; Asteraceae
Description: hypothetical non coding rna
Source: RNAcentral